CGGUGACGGUGACGGUGACGGUGACAACCGGCCAGCCCCGGGCGGGGACAUCCGGCUGCAGCUCUGGUGGUGGGGACCCCGCGGGGACAGCGGGAACGGCGAUUGUCACCUCACCGGGGACACCGGGAAUGGCGAUUGUCACCUCACCGGGGACACCGGGACUGGUGAUUGUCACCUCCCCAGGGACACCGAUUGUCACCUCACCGGGGACAGCGGGAACAGCGAUUGUCACCUCACCGGGGACACUGAUUGUCACCUCACCGGGACUGGUGAUUGUCACCUCCUUGGGGACACCGAUUGUCACCUCCCUGAGGACACCGAUUGUCACUGCCUUGGUGACCCCAGGACCGGCGAUCGUCACCACCCCCGGGACACCGAGUGUCACCCCUGGACACCCCAAACGUCACCCUGGGGGUGUCACAGCCCCCCAAAUGUCACCCCCACUCCGCU
RNAcentral lists this long non-coding RNA (450 nucleotides) under Parus major (Great Tit). RNAcentral's name for it is "lncRNA (ENSPMJG00000002502.1)". Lineage: Eukaryota; Metazoa; Chordata; Aves; Passeriformes; Paridae. The record is from RNAcentral.